AUGUCAAGGACUCACCUGAGGAUAACGAUUGAUUCCGUUUAUACUGUUGUGUGGAUGUGGAUAGGGUUGAUAACCUCUGCUAGCACCAGGAUAGAUGUUCCUCAUCAUGGCACCUUGGCACGCGGGUAUCGGAAAGAAGACGUUAUCGCCAAUCCUGUGCCAGAAGACUCAAGCAGCCGCUUCAAGCAGCUUCUAAAUGGACCACGUGACUUCUGCACAUGCGUAUUAUAUGAAUAAAACGUUCUAUUACGUUUUCCUUCUGUUUUACCAACGGACCACACCACAAUUUACAGUUAAUUCGUAUAUACCGACAUCAGCGUAUGUAACUUCAGCGACGGAUAUGGACAAAAAAUGAACUACAUGUGCAAUAGGGAAACACUGUCCUCACUAUGCGCCUAUUGUGCAUCGGUGUAUAAUGUAAUGUAAUUAUGACUUUACUCGAAAUCAAUAAUCAUAUUUGGAAAAAAGGUGAUUAAAGAAAAUUAAAUGUAAACGAUUCUUUAUAGUUCUAUAUUACCUGUUAAUGGCUGAAAGAUUAUUUUAGAUAUGACAAUAUAUUAUAUAUACUUCUUUGUGCGCUCGUUUUAGAAAUUUAUUCUAUAGGAUUGAAAUUAUAAAUUUUAUGGAGCUUUAGAAAAAAAAAAAAAAUAAUAGUUAGAAAUUUAUGACCCGUCUUGCAUAAAAUAUGAAAAUUAUUAUGUAUCUAUGAGACGGAAUGUUAAGUUGUCUAAGUUUUUCUAUUUUAUCCUUACAUCCAUCAUCAUAAAAAUGACAAGUUGAAUGACUAAAAUUCAAGUUCGAAAGGAUAAAGAAUAGUGUAUCUUCGAAAAUGACAAUAGCCUAUAUAAUUGCCCUUUUAAGGACCUUUUCGGCAUAAAGGUUCUUUUUUGCUUCCUCAAAAAUCCUAUUCCCUAAUCCCAAGUAUUCUAUAAUAAACGUUUAUAGUACAAAAUUACAAUAGUCCCUGAUUCUUAAAUGCUCUUAAAGCAUAGAAAAUGAUUGUUUACACUUUUUUUAUCUUUUUUAAAAAUAAAUUUUGUUCGUCAAUAACUAUAAAAGAUUAUGCCAUCUGCAUUCAUUAUUGGCCUAAGUAAGAAAUGGUUUAAAGUAAGAAUAACGGUACGUCGUAAAAGCAUAAAAUAUAUUUAUUAAAAUAUCGAGAAAUAUAAUAAUAGUAUAAAAUAAAGUUAAGUAUAAUUGUAUUUUCUUUCUGCUAUCACAGGUUAAUCACACAUAAUGUAUUAAUAUUUAUAUGAAAAUUCGUAAUAAAUAUUUAUACCGAGUGAUAUGUUUUGUCGCGCAGACGAUAGGCUUCAUUUUCAGAAAGAAAAAUAAAAUAAAGAAAAAGAGAGAAAAAAAAUGGAAAACAAAAAAAAAAAAGAACAAGAAAAAGAAGAAGAUGUUCGAUCUACAAAAGUCUACGAUAUAUCUCUCAAAUAAAUUAUUAAUUCGAUGCUACGAUGAAACGUUCAGAUCUAUUCUAUACGAAUAAUCGAAAUAUAAUUUAUCAUUGAAUUAUCAUUAUAUAAUAUCGUUUUACAAAUAAUUAGAGAUAAUAUUUUGUAAUUUUUCAUUGACAUACGAAGUACGAUUAAUUUAAAUUGUAUCGUAGAAAUUAAAGAUAUAGCGAAUUACUAAAAUGAAAAGUAUAAUAAAAUAUUAUAUAACUAUGGAAUUAAAGCCAUGUACCAAAAUAAUGUGCAAUAUACUAUAAUCCUAUUUAUAUAAAUCUAUUUUAUAUCGAAUGAUUUUUUGUUUACGAAUAACAUAACUAAUUCGAUUCUUUAACCGUAGAUAAAUAAUAUUAUAUAAACCAACGAAGAUUCUCUGAAUAAUCUUAUCUCGCAAAAAAAUAAUUCUUCUUUAAUGUCUCGA
Molecule: long non-coding RNA, 1875 nt
Organism: Vespa velutina
Lineage: Eukaryota; Metazoa; Arthropoda; Insecta; Hymenoptera; Vespidae
Exons: 3
Source: RefSeq, a predicted model, not a curated record